AGCUAAUGAACUUGUAAAGUAUAUAUUUUGAAAAUAUAAAAAAGAGUAACCAACCUCUAUUGGCUU
This 66-nucleotide transfer RNA is filed under the name Pleophylla sp. PLE01. RNAcentral describes it as "tRNA-Ser". Lineage: Eukaryota; Metazoa; Arthropoda; Insecta; Coleoptera; Scarabaeidae. The record is from RNAcentral.